ACUGGACAUUGCUGUAGGUUCCAUGUCCUCCAUUGGAUCCUUUGGGUCUCCAGUGCACAGACAGAUAUCCUGACCUCUACAUCUGACUCUAACUUUCUUCACUUUUCCAAUGGGCUUCAAUUUUCAUCAAGGAACCUGAGAGAGUCCCUCUGUUGUUUUCUUCUGCUUUGUCUUCUGGAGCUCAGGACAAUGGACUUCAUGACACCCUCUGCCUCUGUGAUGUGGAUCCAGGUAACCCUGGUGAAGUUUGCUUUAUUAGCAAUGGGUAAAGGUACCUGCUUCACCUUGCCUCAAUAGAAGUUAGUGUUAUACAUCUCAUUUUUACCAGGAAAUUUGAGAUGAUGGCAAGUAGGAGUGAUAAGAAUAAACAACUAUGCUCUUCUUGAUCUUGGUGUGAAAAGCAUCCUGUUUCUCCCACUAAGUAUGAUAUUAUGCCAAGAAUUUUUCAUUGAACAGGGAUGGUGCAAACUGAGUUUGGUGAGCUUUUCUUCUAUAGAUUAUGCUUAAGACUUUUUUAAAAAUUGCACUGGAAAAUAAGGUAAAUCUAAAUAAACAAUCUUUCUGGCUUUUUAAAUAAAUAUUUCCACAACUAAACCACAGC
Molecule: long non-coding RNA, 601 nt
Filed under: Heterocephalus glaber (naked mole-rat)
Lineage: Eukaryota; Metazoa; Chordata; Mammalia; Rodentia; Bathyergidae
Description: lncRNA (ENSHGLG00000035703.1)
Source: RNAcentral